UUGGCCGGGCGACGGUUGUCCCGGUUUAAGCGUGUAGGCUGGUUUUCCAGGCAAAUCCGGAAAAUCAAGGCUGAGGCGUGAUGACGAGGCACUACGGUGCUGAAGCAACAAAUGCCCUGCUUCCAGGAAAAGCCUCUAAGCAUCAGGUAACAUCAAAUCGUACCCCAAACCGACACAGGUGGUCAGGUAGAGAAUACCAAGGCGCUUGAGAGAACUCGGGUGAAGGAACUAGGCAAAAUGGUGCCGUAACUUCGGGAGAAGGCACGCUGAUAUGUAGGUGAAGCGACUUGCUCGUGGAGCUGAAAUCAGUCGAAGAUACCAGCUGGCUGCAACUGUUUAUUAAAAACACAGCACUGUGCAAACACGAAAGUGGACGUAUACGGUGUGACGCCUGCCCGGUGCCGGAAGGUUAAUUGAUGGGGUUAGCGGUAACGCGAAGCUCUUGAUCGAAGCCCCGGUAAACGGCGGCCGUAACUAUAACGGUCCUAAGGUAGCGAAAUUCCUUGUCGGGUAAGUUCCGACCUGCACGAAUGGCGUAAUGAUGGCCAGGCUGUCUCCACCCGAGACUCAGUGAAAUUGAACUCGCUGUGAAGAUGCAGUGUACCCGCGGCAAGACGGAAAGACCCCGUGAACCUUUACUAUAGCUUGACACUGAACAUUGAGCCUUGAUGUGUAGGAUAGGUGGGAGGCUUUGAAGUGUGGACGCCAGUCUGCAUGGAGCCGACCUUGAAAUACCACCCUUUAAUGUUUGAUGUUCUAACGUUGGCCCCUGAUCGGGGUUGCGGACAGUGUCUGGUGGGUAGUUUGACUGGGGCGGUCUCCUCCUAAAGAGUAACGGAGGAGCACGAAGGUUGGCUAAUCCUGGUCGGACAUCAGGAGGUUAGUGCAAUGGCAUAAGCCAGCUUGACUGCGAGCGUGACGGCGCGAGCAGGUGCGAAAGCAGGUCAUAGUGAUCCGGUGGUUCUGAAUGGAAGGGCCAUCGCUCAACGGAUAAAAGGUACUCCGGGGAUAACAGGCUGAUACCGCCCAAGAGUUCAUAUCGACGGCGGUGUUUGGCACCUCGAUGUCGGCUCAUCACAUCCUGGGGCUGAAGUAGGUCCCAAGGGUAUGGCUGUUCGCCAUUUAAAGUGGUACGCGAGCUGGGUUUAGAACGUCGUGAGACAGUUCGGUCCCUAUCUGCCGUGGGCGCUGGAGAACUGAGGGGGGCUGCUCCUAGUACGAGAGGACCGGAGUGGACGCAUCACUGGUGUUCGGGUUGUCAUGCCAAUGGCACUGCCCGGUAGCUAAAUGCGGAAGAGAUAAGUGCUGAAAGCAUCUAAGCACGAAACUUGCCCCGA
Molecule: ribosomal RNA, 1337 nt
Filed under: Escherichia coli
Lineage: Bacteria; Pseudomonadati; Pseudomonadota; Gammaproteobacteria; Enterobacterales; Enterobacteriaceae
Description: partial 23S ribosomal RNA
Rfam family: Bacterial large subunit ribosomal RNA
Source: RNAcentral